CCGCCUCCGAUCCUCCGCCGCGCUACCCGGGGGCGGGGCCGCCGCGGUCCCUGCAGACGGCGACCUUCAAGGGUUCAGAGCCGCCCAGAGAACCCGGUGAAAGGACCCACCAUGAUGGAGUUGCUGGGCUGCAGAACAGCGGCGAAGCUGAGUGCGUGAGGGCUGCUCGGUCCCUGAGAAGUUGGAAGUGACUAGGAGACCAUCUAGUUCUGAAGAUUUCACCCCUCCUUCUAUAAAAGAGAACACCUAACUUGUCAGCAUCAGGUUGUUGGAUAAGAGGAAGCUGUGGAGAAUGAAAGGCCA
This 303-nucleotide long non-coding RNA is filed under the name Fukomys damarensis (Damara mole-rat). RNAcentral's name for it is "lncRNA (ENSFDAG00000022470.1)". The record is from RNAcentral. Lineage: Eukaryota; Metazoa; Chordata; Mammalia; Rodentia; Bathyergidae.